This 497-nucleotide ribosomal RNA is filed under the name uncultured bacterium. RNAcentral describes it as "partial 16S ribosomal RNA". It matches the Rfam family "Bacterial small subunit ribosomal RNA", at positions 28 to 507 of the family's 1533-position model. The record is from RNAcentral.
GAUGAACGCUGGCGGCAUGCCUAAUACAUGCAAGUCGAGCGAACAGACGAGGAGCUUGCUCCUCUGACGUUAGCGGCGGACGGGUGAGUAACACGUGGAUAACCUACCUAUAAGACUGGGAUAACUUCGGGAAACCGGAGCUAAUACCGGAUAAUAUAUUGAACCGCAUGGUUCAAUAGUGAAAGACGGUUUUGCUGUCACUUAUAGAUGGAUCCGCGCCGCAUUAGCUAGUUGGUAAGGUAACGGCUUACCAAGGCAACGAUGCGUAGCCGACCUGAGAGGGUGAUCGGCCACACUGGAACUGAGACACGGUCCAGACUCCUACGGGAGGCAGCAGUAGGGAAUCUUCCGCAAUGGGCGAAAGCCUGACGGAGCAACGCCGCGUGAGUGAUGAAGGUCUUCGGAUCGUAAAGCUCUGUUAUUAGGGAAGAACAAAUGUGUAAGUAACUAUGCACGUCUUGACGGUACCUAAUCAGAAAGCCACGGCUAACUACGUG